UGUCUGAUUAGCUAGUUGGUGAGGUAAAGGCUUACCAAGGCUUCGAUCAGUAGCUGGUCUGAGAGGACGACCAGCCACACUGGGACUGAGACACGGCCCAGACUCCUACGGGAGGCAGCAGUGGGGAAUUUUGGACAAUGGGGGAAACCCUGAUCCAGCCAUGCCGCGUGAGUGAAGAAGGCCUUCGGGUUGUAAAGCUCUUUCAGCCGGAACGAAACGGUCACGGUUAAUAACUGUGAUCACUGACGGUACCGGAAGAAGAAGCACCGGCUAACUACGUGCCAGCAGCCGCGGUAAUACGUAGGGUGCGAGCGUUAAUCGGAAUUACUGGGCGUAAAGCGUGCGCAGGCGGUUUUGUAAGUCAGAUGUGAAAUCCCCGGGCUUAACCUGGGAACUGCGUUUGA
This 404-nucleotide ribosomal RNA is filed under the name uncultured Nitrosospira sp. Its description in RNAcentral is "bacterial SSU rRNA". It matches the Rfam family "Bacterial small subunit ribosomal RNA", at positions 234 to 630 of the family's 1533-position model. The record is from RNAcentral. Lineage: Bacteria; Pseudomonadati; Pseudomonadota; Betaproteobacteria; Nitrosomonadales; Nitrosomonadaceae.